CCACAAAAAACACCAAAAAGUCUUGCUACUAUUCUAAGGCCCCGACCAUUUCAAAGUUUCUAAAUAAAGAAUUUUCUUUUUUCUUUUACCUGUUCUCCAUCUUCACACACACGAACAAAGAAACCAAACCCCAAAACAAAAGGACUUGGGCGUUAUAUGGCUAAAAGAGAAGUCAGGAGUGACGUUUCUGAAGACUUGACAAGAGAGUCACUGAUUGCUCUAUCCUAUUCUCUACCAGAGAUAGAUCAAUCUGCAACAGACAACCCAAAAAGCAGUGUGAAAAAUGUCACGGAGGCUGUAAAUGCUGAUGGAAAGGAUAAAGUGAGGUCUGAACUUAUCUCAAUAUCAUAUGCUGAUUCACCGGACACCAUAUAUUUACCGGUUUCUCCUGCAAAAACCAAGGGUUAGGCCGUUUAGCCCUCUUCUCUUUCUAUCCUCCUUGUGUUUAUUUUCAUGUAUACCAUGUGAAACACAAUGAACAACUCUAGGUUGUUGCAGCCGUCAUUACAGCAAAAUACAUCACAUGUGUGUAGUUUUGCAGUUGUUAAUGCUUCUUUGUGACUUUCGCAACGUAAAUUCUGUUUUCUGAAUUAUAAAUUAAUCAUUCUGUCUUUGAUGUGCAA
Molecule: long non-coding RNA, 623 nt
Organism: Erigeron canadensis
Lineage: Eukaryota; Viridiplantae; Streptophyta; Magnoliopsida; Asterales; Asteraceae
Exons: 2
Source: RefSeq, a predicted model, not a curated record